CAGCGGAGGGAUCAUUACCGAGUUAUACAACUCAUCAACCCUGUGAACAUACCUAAAACGUUGCUUCGGCGGGAACAGACGGCCCUGUAACAACGGGCCGCCCCCGCCAGAGGACCCCUAACUCUGUUUUUAUAAUGUUUUUCUGAGUAAACAAGCAAAUAAAUUAAAACUUUCAACAACGGAUCUCUUGGCUCUGGCAUCGAUGAAGAACGCAGCGAAAUGCGAUAAGUAAUGUGAAUUGCAGAAUUCAGUGAAUCAUCGAAUCUUUGAACGCACAUUGCGCCCGCCAGUAUUCUGGCGGGCAUGCCUGUUCGAGCGUCAUUACAACCCUCAGGCCCCCGGGCCUGGCGUUGGGGAUCGGCGGAAGCCCCCUGUGGGCACACGCCGUCCCUCAAAUACAGUGGCGGUCCCGCCGCAGCUUCCAUUGCGUAGUAGCUAACACCUCGCAACUGGAGAGCGGCGCGGCCAUGCCGUAAAACACCCAACUUCUGAAUGUUGACCUCGAAUCAGGUAGGAAUACCCGCUGAACUUAAGCAUAUCAAUAAGCGGAGGAAAAGAAACCAACAGGGAUUGCCCCAGUAACGGCGAGUGAAGCGGCAACAGCUCAGAUUUGAAAUCUGGCUCUCGGGCCCGAGUUGUAAUUUGUAGAGGAUGCUUUUGGUGAGGUGCCUUCCGAGUUCCCUGGAACG
This 689-nucleotide small RNA is filed under the name Fusarium solani. RNAcentral's name for it is "eukaryotic LSU rRNA". The stretch from base 168 to 321 matches the Rfam family "5.8S ribosomal RNA". The record is from RNAcentral. Lineage: Eukaryota; Fungi; Ascomycota; Sordariomycetes; Hypocreales; Nectriaceae.